RNAcentral lists this ribosomal RNA (476 nucleotides) under uncultured bacterium. Its description in RNAcentral is "partial 16S ribosomal RNA". It matches the Rfam family "Bacterial small subunit ribosomal RNA", at positions 28 to 523 of the family's 1533-position model. The record is from RNAcentral.
GACGAACGCUAGCGGCGUGCCUAACACAUGCAAGUCGAGCGAUGAAGCCCUUCGGGGUGGAUUAGCGGCGGACGGGUGCGUAACACGUGGGUAACCUGCCUCAAAGUGGGGGAUAGCCUUCCGAAAGGAACAUUAAUACCGCAUAACAUGCUUUAAUCGCAUGGUUGAAGCAUCAAACGAGGAAUAGGCUUUGAGAUGGACCCGCGACGCAUUAGCUAUUUGGUGAGGUUACGGCUCACCAAGACGAAGAUGGGUAGCCGACCUGAGAGGGUGAUCGGCCACAUUGGAACUGAGACACGGUCCAGACUCCUACGGGAGGCAGAAGUGGGGAAUAUUGCGCAAUGGAGGAAACUAUGACGCAGCAACGCCGCGUGAAUGAUGAAGGCCUUAGGGUUGUAAAGUUCUGUCUUCUGGGACGAUAAUGACGGUACCAGAGGAGGAAGCCACGGCUAACUACGUGCCAGAAGCCGCGGUAA